GAAGUGGAGGAUGAGGAGGAGGAGGAAGCUGUUGCUGAGAAUGUAGAUGAAGUGGAGGAUGAGGAGGAGGUAGACGUCGAAGCACAAGUGGUAGAGGAGAAUGAGGAGCUGGAGAUGCAGGAUUUUGAGGAUGUAGAGGUUGAGGCUGAGGAGGUUAGGUCUUUUUCUGGCGAGUCUCCUGAGGUGUAUAGUGAGUUCUCCGGGUAUGACACCACAAGCUCUGAGGAUGAAGAUGAUGAAGACGAGGACCACCUUCCACCACAUCUGCAGUCCACCCAGAGGAUUUCCCCCGACUUAAGAUUCCCAUGGAACCACGAGGAGCCAGAGGAGUCCCCGGAGUGCCAAGAAGACCACGUCUCCAGGAAGAGAAGAAGAGAGGAAGACGAGGAAGAUGAUGAAGACGAGGACCACCUUCCACCACAUCUGCGGUCCACCCAGAGGAUUUCCCCCGACUUAAGAUUCCCAUGGAACCACGAGGAGCCAGAGGAGUGCCAAGAAGACCGCGUCUCCAGGAGGAGGAGAAGAGAGGAAGAUCCUGAAGAGGAGCUCCCUGGGAAGAGGCCAUGUCGUGAGAGGGACGUUUGAGAAAAGGAAUAUCAUCAAGAACCUUCCUUUAACUCCUUCAACUACUUCUAAUGAUGAAGAGAAGAUGAGGAUUUAGCAGAAGAACCAAACCUUCACCAUCUUCCUUUGGAUCAUCUUGUAAGAGAAGCUGGAUGUACUUUCUUGCUGAUUUGAUGAUGAGUGAAGGUGGGAAGGCUGAAAGACUGGAAACAGUCACACAUAGAAAGAAUUUAUUGAUGGUUUUUACAUCUGGCAGGUCUAGGGAUGCCUUAGGUAGCGACUUGCUCCGUGGCUUUUCUUUACCCCGCUGCUAGAUUUAGUUUCUUAGAUGUUAAGGAGUCUGGCAGGUCUAGGGAUGCCUUAGGUAGCGACUUGCUCCGUGGCUUUUCUUUACCCCGCUGCUAGAUUUAGUUUCUUAGAUGUUAAGGAGUCUGGCAGGUCUAGGGAUGCCUUAGGUAGCGACUUGCUCCAUGGCUUUUCUUUACCCCGCUGCUAGAUUUUGAUAUAAGUUUUAGAUGUUAAGAUUUUCCUUUAGCACAGACAUCUGAGCAGACUCUAAGGACUUGAGAGACCCAGAGACCAGUUCAUCAGUUGAAAUGGUGUCUGUGAUGUUGGUUAGAAGGCAAAGAGAUGAUACUUGGUGGGAAUACUUGAUUGCAAACCAGUUUGAGGCAGAGGACUGCUUUCAGCUGUGAAUUGAUCUAGUUCUAGAUGUUCUAGAUGUUCCUCUGGUCAGUUAGUUUUCAGGCCUAGUUUGAGGGAAAGAAACCUCCAUAUGAUCAAGGCCUAUUCUGACCGCAGUGGAUCUCUUCUGUUUUUUGAAUCCUAUGUUGGACCGAGCCGCUACAAGGUUUGGGCCUUCAGAAGAUGCUGAUGAGAUCUACAGCGACCUAACCAGAGGAGGAUCACCUGAUCUGCUGACCUUUACAAAAAAUACAGUGGACGUCCAAAAGCAGAGCUCCUGUGAGGAACCGGGACAUCCAGGAUGGUGAGGAGCUUCCCUGUCCCCACCUGAGGACGGGACAGAGAAAGACUGGAACAGAAAACACGCGGAGGAAAGCGGGUUGACCAUGAAAGCAGUGUUCUAGCAGCCGGAUAGCAUUGGAACAGAGUCCAUCCACACGUGUUUGGAGGAGCUGAAGAAGAAGAUGGAGUACAUAGACCGCUAAGGAGGAGAAACAUGGCUCCUCUAUUUGUCUCCAGCAUUCUGGUGUCCUGGACUGAAAGACGGUGAAGACCCUGCAGCUAAACCAUCAGUCUGCUACACCCAGUGAGAGAAGCUUCUCCUUGGACCGGAGCCUCUGUUUGUUGGACGUCUGCUGUCUCGUUAAAGACCCACUCGGCCACAGUGGAAGGGCGCUGACAUGGAACUUCCUGCUUCCUGCUUAAAGCUAGUUUUCCUCUCUGCUGUCACUGCUUCAUUGCUCAGGAGGAGGGACUGCUGCAAAAUGAACGAUUGGAUGUGAUUGGCUGAGCUUCCUUGGAUUAAAGACGUUCCUCUAAACGCCAUAUUAAACUGGAUUUAUCUUCAUGAUGUUGUAAAUAGGAUCUAACCAGAUGUCUGUGAUUAAUUUGAUAUUGUUUGUGUUGAUUUCUGUUACUUGUUUCUGUAUUAAAGCUGUCAUGUUAAUUGCCUUUAGAUUACAUUUCCUUCUGUUUUACAAGACUGAAUUAUAAUAAAUCCCCCUACUGGGUCUGUUUCUGUUAAAGUAUGAUUCUGUCACCUGUUAUUUCUCAC
Long non-coding RNA from Cyprinodon variegatus (sheepshead minnow), 2302 nucleotides. RefSeq lists it as uncharacterized. The record is from RefSeq and is a predicted model, not a curated record. NCBI's taxonomy places the organism in Eukaryota, Metazoa, Chordata, Actinopteri, Cyprinodontiformes, Cyprinodontidae. The transcript is spliced from 5 exons.